Molecule: small RNA, 73 nt
Filed under: Lactobacillus apis
Lineage: Bacteria; Bacillati; Bacillota; Bacilli; Lactobacillales; Lactobacillaceae
Source: RNAcentral
CAUCUGCAACCGCACAUUUUGUGGUUAGAAGUUUUCUAUCAAGAAACACCUCAAUUGGCGAGUCUAAGUAAAU